Molecule: long non-coding RNA, 830 nt
Filed under: Olea europaea subsp. europaea
Lineage: Eukaryota; Viridiplantae; Streptophyta; Magnoliopsida; Lamiales; Oleaceae
Source: RNAcentral
AUUGUCUAUUUGAACUUUUGCUCCUAGAAAUUAAAAUUUAGCUAUGAAUAUGCAGGAAAGCAGCAACCGUGACGGGUGUAACAAUGCUGCUGCGUAUAGUUUGGAUUUUUCUGGCGGACACUCUGAGGAUGGAGGCAUAUUCCACGUGAAACAUGGGCAGAGUUAGUUUUGAUGAUGUCAUCUGAUACAUUUAGGCUCAGUUGUUCUUUAAUAAUAUCAAUAGACGAACUUCUUUGGAAACUAUGGUGGUCCAAAAUGAAUAAAAUGUAUUCUGCAAAUCCAGUUGAUUCUCUGCGUUCUGGAGUCUGGUUUAUUUCGUAUUAGAGCUGCACAAAUUUAAAAAGAAACUCUUGUUGAUUCCAGCAUUUCAUGAUCGACGCCUGCAGGUACUUGCAGCUGUAUUGAUGUUCUGUAAUAUGUUUUUCGAAUCAUUGAUCUCAUUUUCAUUAUUUUGUUUCGUUAUGAUCUUAUCUCAGGAAUCCAGAAAAUAAAUCAUUCCUUUUUUCCCACCAUGAAUUGCUGCGCUGUUAGUUUCUUCUUAUGAUGGCUUCUCUGUAAAUGUGAAGGCUGAGAUGACUCGUGGCCUUCGUCUCGAGGUGUCGAUGCUGAUGUGUGUCAGCAGCCAAUGGCAGAUUGUCCGAUUGCUGCUGUGACUUUUGAUUUAUCAUAUUUGUCUGAUUUAGUUUCUUUGAAUCAUUCACGUUGCUAUUCUUAUGGAUUCUUGUUUCUUUUGUGGAGUUAUUUGUAUUAUUAAUUGAACCAUUUUAAGUAGGUACUUGUGUGUUUGCUUAAUUUUUUUAGGGUAAUUAGCCUUUCAGCAUUAUUGUGCC